CCGGUGUCAUUUCCUAAGAGGAUAAUAUUGUUAGGUAUGAUUCAAUAGUGGUAGAUUUCUUUCAACAACCUAAUGUAGUGGUAGAAAAGGGGGAAAAACCUAAACUAGGGCACAUAGAUUUUAUCGGAUGCUAGAAUCAAUCUGUAGUCCUCUAUGGGAAGGAUUCGUUCACUCACAACUAUCAAUUGCUACUAGAAUGUUAGGAACUAAAUUUGAGAAUAAUCACUCAUUAUACUCUUGCGACCAAGUGAUUAUGUUAGUUAGGAAAGUUGUAGAGGAUCCGAGUGAUAUUCCCAAGAACUAUUACGGAGCCAAGAAGGUUUUUCGUAAUUGGGGUCAAAGGCUGUUAAAAUAUAUUGUUGCUUUAACAACUGUAUGAUACAUUACAAGGAUGAUGAAGAGCAAACUGAGUGUAAGUUUUUUUAUUUGCGGAGAUUUGUCCCGGUAAAUAUACUAAGAAAGUUCCAUACAAGUGAAUGCGUUAUUUAACCCUAAUCCUUAGGCUCCAAUAGUUGCACACUUCAAUGAGUCUUCUACUCACCUGAGGUGGCAUUUCAACAACCUCCAAACAGAUAAUCUCAUAACCUAUCCUUUUCAUAAGGAAGAAUGUUUUCAAUUUGAUAAAAAUAACACCCACAUUUUGCAGCCGAACCUAGAAAUAUCAGGCUUGGUCUUUGUUUUGAUGGAUUUGUCCCUAACAUCCACUUUAGUAUCCAUUAUUUACGUUGGCCUGUCAUUUUUUCUCUUACAAUCUUUUGCCUAAUAUGUAUAUGAAAGAUCCUUAUUUGCUCUUAACUUGUGUUAUUCUCGACCUAGAUAAUCUGAAAGUCAAAAUAGAUGUAUAUCUUCCACCCAUCGUUGAUGAAUUGAACCAGUUGUGAUAUCUUAGAUUUUAACUUAUGAUGUGUCAUCUAAAGUCAACUUUACACUUAAGCCACCUUAAUUUGGACAAUUAAAAUUUUUCUGGUUAUUGGAUGUUGUCCAAUUAGAUGGCACAGGAAAGUUAUCCUAUCCAAUUUGCAUGGAGGACAUUAAGGCUUCUCAACUUAAGUACGUUGGAAAAAAAAUCUUGAUUUGAUUGUCACGGAAGGUUUUUAUUUGAGAAUUAUUUCUACAUACACAAUCAAACUACAUUUAGGAAGAAUAUUGAGGGACAUGAGGAGCCUCCUGUCAGAUUGAGUGGUGAAGAGUUGUGGUUAAAGGGUUAUCCCAGAGUAGUUGACACAGGCCAUUAGUUACAAUUUUUUGGUUAUGAUAACGAACAUAACUAGACUAAGAAGAGUAUAUUUUAGAACUUACUGUAUUGGAAGGAUCUUCAUGUCCGUUAUUUUCUCGAUGUGAUGCAUAUCAAGAAGAACGUGUUCAACAAUGUCAUCUACACGGUAAUGGAUAGUCAUAGAACCUAAGAUAACCCCAAAGCUAGGCUAGGCUUAGAAGGCCAGGACAAAAUCUUAUGUUAAUGGGGAUGGUAGAUAGGCUAAGCCAAAAGAGUGUUAUGUUUUUAACUUUAGAACAAAAUUAAACACGUGUCGGUGGUUAUAAGAGGUGAGGCUUCUUAAUGGUUAUGCCUUCAACCUUAGCAGGUGUUUUAAUGUCACUCAUCAAAGACUUCAUGGCACGAAAAAAGUUGUAAUUGUCAUGCUUUCAUGGAAUGCCUACUCCUGGUGGCCUUGAGAGAGUUUUCUGAUCAAGUUUGGAAGCUAUUAACAAAGCUUAGUCAAGGUUUUAGAGAUUUGUGUUCUCUCUCUAUCUGUAGAAAAUCUUUGUGUAGUAGAGCACAACAUUCCAAUCAUCCUUUGUAAGCUAGAGAGAAUCUUAUCUACUGGCUUUUUUAACGUCAUAGAACAUCUCCCUAUUCACAUGGCAUACGAAUCACAUGCAUGUGACUCGGUACAGUAUCGAUGGAUGUAUCCCUUUGAGUGUCAAGUUGGUGUUUAUAAGAGGUCAUUCAAGAAUAGAGUCGGGUAGAAGGGUUCUACAUGUGAGGCGUACAUGUUGAAAGAAACUACCUACUUCUGUUUUUACUACUUUGAACCUCUCGUGAAAUCUAGUCGCACAAGAGUAGGUCGUAAUGAUCCCGAUGAUGAAGGUUCGUUUGAGCCAAUGGUGUCUAUCUUCAAUCAAGUUGGCACACUUGGGUGAAGGAAAAAAAAUUGGUGGUUGAACUUCACAGAAGUGAACAUAGCUCACCUACAGAUUCUCCUAAAUUGUUUUAAAGUCAAUGAAAUCAUAAGGUGAUAUGGCACGAGAUAGCAAUACGAGGAUGACGUGAUGAUGGGAGGGGUAUUGCCAUAAGGGAUGCCCAUCCCACUUGAUUUAGGUGCAUCGUCAACAUGCACCCAACCUACUACCACCACGACUACUACCGCUCUUGUGAUUUUUGCACCGACCUUGUCACCCAGGUUGUAGUCACAGCUGUUAUAGGGGUUAGACCCUAUCAGCAUGAUCCUGACUCUAGGUCUAUCUUUUGAUAUGAGUGGCUUUCAAACACAGCCAUAACCAUAUAUACAUCCUCAGCCUCAGCCACAAUCUCAGUCACAGCCAUGGUCUCAGCACAACCAUAGCCUCAACCCCAGCCAUAGCCACAUACAUAGAACUAAACACAACCAUUGUUUUAGCCACAAUCUUAGGCUCAGACUUGGCCACGGCCAUAGCCACAGCAACAAAGAAGGUGUCACAUCUAUGCAGCCUGCUAAUCUGAGUUAGGACCUUUCGAGACCUAGGAUGGAACAUAUUACUUGGGUUUUCAAGAUCCACUAUAAGUGGUUUAAUUCAUACCCAGGUUUAUCAUGGCUUCAGAUGAAAUUCACAAUCUUUUGUGGCGACUAUUUAAGUACCACUUUGAGCUUGUCCCGAGAGAAGAGUAGAAGAUUUACAAUGCCUGGCGGGUAAAAGAUACCAAGUGUCUCCGGGAGAUGCUAUCAAACAUUUGCAACAACGGUACUCUUGUAGACUGAAUCCCAGACGAUAUUCUCACCCGACUAAAGGAGUAUUCAAACUCAAAUAAUUAUGGGUGACCUGGACUAAGGCACGAGGCAGUAGAGCUUCCGAGAUUGGUGGAUCCAUGCACACGGGAGGAUCAACUACUUAUAGGGUGACAAAGAAAAAGAUGGUUCGUAUUAUUUAAAUUUUUAAUUAUGUUAUUAAUUUGUCUACUUUAGUAUUGAUUAAUAUGAUACAUAAUGACUUAUUGUAAUUCUAAACCCUUUUCACAGCGUUUGAUUACAUUGAU
Long non-coding RNA from Arachis duranensis, 3232 nucleotides. RefSeq lists it as uncharacterized. The record is from RefSeq and is a predicted model, not a curated record. NCBI's taxonomy places the organism in Eukaryota, Viridiplantae, Streptophyta, Magnoliopsida, Fabales, Fabaceae. The transcript has 4 exons.